Molecule: ribosomal RNA, 251 nt
Filed under: uncultured prokaryote
Description: partial 16S rRNA
Rfam family: Bacterial small subunit ribosomal RNA
Source: RNAcentral
ACGUAGGUGGCGAGCGUUGUCCGGAAUUACUGGGUGUAAAGGGUGCGUAGGCGGAUUUGCAAGUCAGACGUGAAAACUAUCGGCUUAACCGGUAGCCUGCGUUUGAAACUGUGAGUCUUGAGUGGUGAAGAGGUAAGCGGAAUUCCUAGUGUAGUGGUGAAAUGCGUCGAUAUUAGGAGGAACACCAGUGGCGAAGGCGGCUUACGGGGCACUAUCUGACGCUGAGGCUCGAAAGCAUGGGGAGCGUACAG